GUUGGGAGCUCUCCCAUAUGGUCGACCUGCAGGCGGCCGCGAAUUCACUAGUGAUUCGUAUUACCGCGGCUGCUGGCACAGAGUUAGCCGGUGCUUCUUCUGUAGGUAAUGUCAAUCCUUAGUGCUAUUAACACUAAGGCCUUCUUCCCUACCGAAAGUGCUUUACAACCCGCAGGCCUUCUUCACACACGCGGCAUUGCUGGAUCAGGCUUUCGCCCAUUGUCCAAUAUUCCCCACUGCUGCCUCCCGUAGGAGUCUGGGCCGUGUCUCAGUCCCAGUGUGGCUGGUCAUCCUCUCAGACCAGCUACGGAUCAUCGCCUUGGUAGGCUUUUACCCUACCAACUAGCUAAUCCGACGCAGGCUCAUCUUCUGGCACAAGGCAUCACUGUCCCUUGCUUUCCCCCUUAGGGCUUAUGCGGUAUUAGCUUGAGUUUCCCCAAGUUAUCCCCCACUAGAAGGCAGAUUCCUACGCGUUACUCACCCGUCCGCCACUCGUCAGCACCUAGCAAGCUAGGCCUGUUACCGUUCGACUUGCAUGUGUUAAGCAUGCCGCUAGCGUUCAAUCUGAGCCAUGAUCAAACUCUAAUCGAAUUCCCGCG
Molecule: ribosomal RNA, 599 nt
Filed under: uncultured beta proteobacterium
Lineage: Bacteria; Pseudomonadati; Pseudomonadota; Betaproteobacteria
Description: partial 16S ribosomal RNA
Source: RNAcentral